GACGAACGCUGGCGGCGUGCUUAACACAUGCAAGUCGAACGGAAAGGCCUGCUUUCCCUUGUGGAUUGCGGGUACUCGAGUGGCGAACGGGUGAGUAACACGUGAGUGAUCUGCCCCCAACUUGGGUAUAAGCCUGGGAAACUGGGUCUAAUUCCCGAUAGGACUGCAGGGUGGUGCCUGUGGUGGAAAACGAUUUUCUAGUGGUUGGGGAUGAGCUCGCGGCCUAUCAGCUUGUUGGUGGGGUAAUGGCCUACCAAGGCGGCGACGGGUAGCCGGCCUGGGAGGGUGGACGGCAACAGUGGGACUGAGAUACGGCCCAGACUCCUACGGGAGGCAGCAGUGGGGAAUAUGGCGCAAUGGGCGGAAGCCUGAGGCAGCGACGCCGCGUGGGGGAUGACGGCCUUCGGGUUGUAAACUCCUUUCGACCGCGAGGAAGCCACCUGGUUGGAAGGGUGGUGACGGUAGUGGUAGAAGAAGCACCGGCUAACUACGUG
Molecule: ribosomal RNA, 494 nt
Filed under: uncultured bacterium
Lineage: Bacteria
Description: partial 16S ribosomal RNA
Rfam family: Bacterial small subunit ribosomal RNA
Source: RNAcentral